Mytilus trossulus (common blue mussel) is the source of this 2016-nucleotide long non-coding RNA. RefSeq lists it as uncharacterized. The transcript is spliced from 3 exons. Lineage: Eukaryota; Metazoa; Mollusca; Bivalvia; Mytilida; Mytilidae. The record is from RefSeq and is a predicted model, not a curated record.
UUUUCAGAAAACUAGAUUUAAAACUGAACAUGGGUUUAAAUCUUCAUGUAGAGAAGGAGAGGAUCCCCUGGAUACUUCAAAGGUGCUGCUAGCUCCUGAACUCAUCAUCUAUGACAAUGCCUGCAAUCUUCAUUGAUACUGCUUAAAUCGUGAUCCACACUUUUUCAAAAAUACACAGUUCAAAGUUGAUGGAUUUCAUUGGGAUAAUCAUUUUGGUUGCAGUGAUAGCUAUGAAAUGAGAAGUUUUCCACAAUACAAAGACAUAAGCAGCCAAGUGGUAGAACAAUUUAAUAGCCAGAUAAAAAAAACUGAAGGAUACAGUGUCAUACAUGACAAGAAAUAACUUUUUUAACCAUAUAAAAUUAUUUGUAUGCGGAAAAAACAACAAUGCAUUGGAAAAAUAAAUUGGUUGUACUGUUUAGACUCUUUAUCAAUUUAUUAUUUAGUAUGUAAUGAACAAAAACACACAUCUAUUACUUUCAGGACUAUUUAUCAAUAUCAUUCAUCAUAAGAUUACAACAAUAUGGUUAAAUGUUGACUAUGUCAUCUUUAGUCUGUUUUUUUUUUAUAUCUUGAUAAAAUAAAUGCAAUAAUUUUUUAAGAUGGUAUCCAACACCUUCACUGAAAUUGAUUUGGCUGGUUUACUUUUCUUAAAAUUUUGACAAAGUAUUUACUUUGACCCUUUGACAAAAAUUUCAGAAUUUCAAACAAUUUUAACCAAAGAUUAUAUCAGACAAACUACACUGGUUUGACAAAACACUAAUUUUGAUCAUUGAGAAGCUUAAUAUUCUUUUACAACAUCACGUAAUUAAAAUGUUAAGCUGAUUUUACAGAGUUAUCUCCCUGUAGUGUUAGAUACCACCUUAAAGUCCCUGGUUUUUUAAUAAUCCUAAAAGGUAAAUCUCUCAAUGUGAUAAAAACCAAGAAUUUGAAAAGUAUAUAUUUAUAUUAUCUGUUGAAUAUUUUAUGUUCAAACUUGAAGUUAUGGGUGUUCAAUCUGUAGACUAAUCUGUAGACCAUUUAAGAUCUUACCUUAUUGAUAGAAUUUAAUUUGUACAUUUAAAUAUGUUAUGUCAAAAAUUCAGAAUCCAUGAUAGGCACAGGAACUGUCUCACAAGGAGGUAUCUUUGGACCACUGUAAUUUUUAACAUAUAUGAAUGAUAUGUCAAUCAAUAUUGAUUAAGACAUAAAUGAUUUUUUUUAUGUUGAUUAUUUAUUAACAUACUCAUAAAAAUGCAGACAUUAUUUCCAGAUAGUUGAUAAAAAGAUAUACACUCUUUAUUCUAGUAAAAACAGCAUUUCAAAAAAAAAAAUAGACAAAAUAUCAAUUUUCAUGUAAAAUGUAAUGAUCACCUUAUAAGAUUGUCAGAUUUUAUCAAAUAUUUAGGAGUUCUCAUAAUUAUUAUUUUUUAAUAUUGUGAACAAAUAGUUUCCAACAUCAAAAAAAUUACUGUGUUUCAAUAUAGAGUUUUUUCUAUAGAAUGCCAAAUAUUUCCAUACUAUAUCAAGGAUGACUCUGGCAUCGACUCCGAUACAAUGCUAUUUCGAUUAAUCUUGUUCUUCAUGGUAUAAUAGUGUGGGCUGAGGGAUAACAAGAAAAUUGCAAGUUGUAUAGAAUAAGUUGGUGAGAUACUUCCUUGGUCUGGGUCCAGGGUUUAGAAUUACAUGUGAUUUUUAGAUAAUGUUAAUAUGCUAUGUGUAAAAGAUUAAGUUACUCAACUUUGAUUAAAUUAUGUAUUUAAUACACAGUCUUUAUGUGAAAAUUUUUAUUUGAAUAAUCAUAAUAUUGGAAGUGCUGCACAUACUGAUUAUUCUAUACCAAAUAUUAAAAACUGUUCAAAAACAGCUUUGUCUAUGAUACUAUACAAGACUGGAACAAUCUAUCAUCCAACACUAAAAAAUAUCAAAUAGAUCUGCAUUUUAGACUACAGUUUAAGAACAAUUAAAGUCAACAAAUAUAUCACUUUUUAAUUUGCCCUUUUCAGUCAACCUUUGAAUAAAUUGUUAAACAUGUGA